RNAcentral lists this small nucleolar RNA (123 nucleotides) under Jaculus jaculus (lesser Egyptian jerboa). Its description in RNAcentral is "Small nucleolar RNA SNORA33 (ENSJJAG00000009814.1)". It matches the Rfam family "Small nucleolar RNA SNORA33". From Rfam's summary of the family: ACA33 is a member of the H/ACA class of snoRNA that guide the sites of modification of uridines to pseudouridines. The record is from Rfam by way of RNAcentral. Lineage: Eukaryota; Metazoa; Chordata; Mammalia; Rodentia; Dipodidae.
GAGGCAGAGUCUGCUUAUCUGAAAGUGUUUCUACAGAAAUGUAGAGAACUGGCAAUAGUGAUGCCAUGUUACGAGCCUUAAGGACGACUGAGGCCGUUAAAGUCCCUGGAAAUGGCUACAAUA